Long non-coding RNA from Strongylocentrotus purpuratus (purple sea urchin), 248 nucleotides. RefSeq lists it as uncharacterized. The record is from RefSeq and is a predicted model, not a curated record. The transcript is spliced from 3 exons. NCBI's taxonomy places the organism in Eukaryota, Metazoa, Echinodermata, Echinoidea, Camarodonta, Strongylocentrotidae.
UGUGCUGCACCUGUAGAAGGAGGGAAAGGACCAUGUGGUGGGGACAGUGGAGGACCUCUUGUGUUAAAGAGAGGUGAUCAAUGGUGGCUAGCCGGGACUGUACUGGGUGGUAAUGGAUGCGGCAGCCCAGACUUUCCAAACGUUUUCCAGAACGUCAUCGCUUACCAGGAAUGGAUUGAACCGAUUUUCAGUAACCGUCUCCCCGAAGCCCAAACAACACGUUGCCGGGAUGAUCAGUUUAGCUGCAA